AGUCGCGUGGUCUAAUGGUCAUGAUUUCUCCUUUACAUUUAACUUGUUCAAUGAAACGGAGACGGUUCCGUGUUCGAUCCACGGCGUGACUA
Non-coding RNA from Hypoxylon sp. CI-4A, 92 nucleotides. NCBI's taxonomy places the organism in Eukaryota, Fungi, Ascomycota, Sordariomycetes, Xylariales, Hypoxylaceae. The record is from the annotation of a GenBank genome assembly.